GGAGGUAGAGCACUGAAUGGGCUAGGGCUGACAACAGUUACUGAACCCUAUCAAACUCCGAAUGCCAUAUACUUGUACCCCGGCAGUCAGACUACGAAUGAUAAGAUCCGUGGUCAAAAGGGAAACAGCCCAGACCAUCAGCUAAGGUCCCAAAGUGUAAGUUAAGUGGGAAAGGAUGUGGGAUUUCUAAGACAACUAGGAUGUUGGCUUAGAAGCAGCCACUCAUUUAAAGAGUGCGUAAUAGCUCACUAGUCGAGAGAUCCUGCGCCGAAGAUGUAACGGGGCUCAAACUUACCACCGAAGCUAUGGAUGUAUACUUUGUAUACGUGGUAGAGGAGCUUUCUGUACAGGUUGAAGCCAUACCGUAAGGAGUGGUGGACAGUACAGAAGUGAGAAUGCUGGCAUAAGUAGCGAAAAACAAGUGAGAAUCUUGUUGGCCGAAUAUCUAAGGUUUCCUGGGGAAGGCUCGUCCUCCCAGGGUUAGUCGGGACCUAAGCCAAGGCCGAAAGGCGUAGGUGAUGGACAACUGGUUGAUAUUCCAGUACCGCCAUGAUGCGUUUGACAAAUGGGAUGACGCAGGAGGAUAGGAUGUGCGCACUAUUGGAUGUGCGUCUAAGCACUUAGGGUGUUAAGUAGGCAAAUCCGCUUAACAUUAAGCCUGAGGUGUGAUGGGGAGUCAUUUUUGACGAAGUAUCUGAUUCCACGCUGCCAAGAAAAGUCUCUAUGGAGCAAAAUGGUGCCCGUACCGCAAACCGACACAGGUAGAUGAGGAGAGAAUCCUAAGGCCGUCGGAAGAAUUACUGCUAAGGAACUCGGCAAAUUGACCCCGUAACUUAGGGAGAAGGGGUGCCUACGAGAGUAGGCCGCAGUGAAUAGGCUCAAGCAACUGUUUAUCAAAAACACAGGUCUCUGCUAAAGCGUAAGCUGAUGUAUAGGGGCUGACGCCUGCCCGGUGCUGGAAGGUUAAGGGGAAUAGUUAGCGCAAGCGAAGCUAUGAACUUAAGCCCCAGUAAACGGCGGCCGUAACUAUAACGGUCCUAAGGUAGCGAAAUUCCUUGUCGGGUAAGUUCCGACCCGCACGAAUGGCGUAAUGAUUUGAGCACUGUCUCGGCAGUAAAUCCGGUGAAAUUGUAGUGCAAGUGAAGAUGCUUGCUACCCGCGGUUGGACGGAAAGACCCCGUAGAGCUUUACUGUAGCUUAGCAUUGAAUUUCGGUAUUGUCUGUACAGGAUAGGUGGGAGACUUAGAAACCAGGGCGUCAGCUUUGGCGGAGUCAUCCUUGGGAUACCACCCUGAUAGUACUGGAAUUCUAACUGGAGGCCAUGAAUCUGGUCACAGGACAUUGCUAGGUGGGCAGUUUGACUGGGGCGGUCGCCUCCUAAAAGGUAACGGAGGCGCCCAAAGGUUCCCUCAGCGCGGUCGGAAAUCGCGCGUAGAGUGCAAAGGCAGAAGGGAGCCUGACUGCGACACAUACAGGUGGAGCAGGGACGAAAGUCGGGCUUAGUGAUCCGGUGGUUCUGUAUGGAAGGGCCAUCGCUCAACGGAUAAAAGCUACCUC
This 1557-nucleotide ribosomal RNA is filed under the name Clostridium botulinum C str. Eklund. RNAcentral describes it as "bacterial LSU rRNA". It matches the Rfam family "Bacterial large subunit ribosomal RNA", at positions 898 to 2469 of the family's 2925-position model. The record is from RNAcentral. Lineage: Bacteria; Bacillati; Bacillota; Clostridia; Eubacteriales; Clostridiaceae.